RNAcentral lists this ribosomal RNA (253 nucleotides) under uncultured bacterium. RNAcentral's name for it is "partial 16S ribosomal RNA". It matches the Rfam family "Bacterial small subunit ribosomal RNA", at positions 524 to 776 of the family's 1533-position model. The record is from RNAcentral.
UACGUAGGGGGCAAGCGUUGUCCGGAAUCAUUGGGCGUAAAGAGCGUGUAGGCGGUUCGGUAAGUCGGCUGUGAAAGUCCAGGGCUCAACCCUGGGAUGCCGGUCGAUACUGUCGGGCUUGAGUACGGAAGAGGCGAGUGGAAUUCCUGGUGUAGCGGUGAAAUGCGCAGAUAUCAGGAGGAACACCAAUUGCGAAGGCAGCUCGCUGGGACGUUACUGACGCUGAGACGCGAAAGCGUGGGGAGCAAACAGG